UGUGACCUGAUUUUAAACCCUUGAGGAGACAGUCAUAACUAAACUUCAUCUAAGACCAUGUUAUUAUUACCUUUGUUUAACCAGGAGGUUCACGAGAGGGAAAAUGCAUAUAAAACAGCCCAAUCAGAAAGUGAGAAAACCAAGGUGCUAUAAUACCAAAAGAAGAAGAUUAAAAAUCAGCAUCCAAAUCACUUUCAAAAAUGACAGUAUUUCAAGGUGGACAUGGAGGAAGACUUACAGAGGACGUAAAAUUGGAUGAUUGUUUAAAUAAGCCAUGAGGAUAUUACUGAGAAGAUUUCACAUCCUACUUGGGUGAUCUGAGCUGUCCCACUUCACAAUGGCAGAAGACAUCCCCACUCCCGCUGGGCUUUCACACUUCUGAA
Diceros bicornis minor is the source of this 383-nucleotide long non-coding RNA. RefSeq lists it as uncharacterized. Lineage: Eukaryota; Metazoa; Chordata; Mammalia; Perissodactyla; Rhinocerotidae. The record is from RefSeq and is a predicted model, not a curated record. The transcript has 3 exons.